Molecule: ribosomal RNA, 465 nt
Filed under: Vreelandella stevensii
Lineage: Bacteria; Pseudomonadati; Pseudomonadota; Gammaproteobacteria; Oceanospirillales; Halomonadaceae
Description: partial 16S ribosomal RNA
Rfam family: Bacterial small subunit ribosomal RNA
Source: RNAcentral
CCUACGGGGGGCUGCAGUGGGGAAUAUUGGACAAUGGGCGAAAGCCUGAUCCAGCCAUGCCGCGUGUGUGAAGAAGGCCUUCGGGUUGUAAAGCACUUUCAGUGGGGAAGAAAGCCUUGGGGCUAAUACCCUCGAGGAAGGACAUCACCCACAGAAGAAGCACCGGCUAACUCCGUGCCAGCAGCCGCGGUAAUACGGAGGGUGCGAGCGUUAAUCGGAAUUACUGGGCGUAAAGCGCGCGUAGGCGGUCUGAUAAGCCGGUUGUGAAAGCCCCGGGCUCAACCUGGGAACGGCAUCCGGAACUGUCAGGCUAGAGUGCAGGGGAGGAAGGUAGAAUUCCCGGUGUAGCGGUGAAAUGCGUAGAGAUCGGGAGGAAUACCAGUGGCGAAGGCGGCCUUCUGGACUGACACUGACGCUGAGGUGCGAAAGCGUGGGUAGCAAACAGGAUUAGAUACCCGUGUAGUC